Non-coding RNA from Myodes glareolus (Bank vole), 310 nucleotides. The record is from RefSeq and is a predicted model, not a curated record. NCBI's taxonomy places the organism in Eukaryota, Metazoa, Chordata, Mammalia, Rodentia, Cricetidae.
CUCUGCCUGCAUGCCGUCAUGCUAGCCACCAUGACUGAACCUCUGAAACUGGAGUCUGAUGCUCUCUACUGGCUUCUGCAGGCACCAGGCGCAUGUGAGGAAUUAUGAAAAUGGGUUCCAUUCCAUUUCAUGUCUCGCCACUCCUCUUCAAACUACGCAAGCAACACGGAAUACAGACUUAUGCUCCCACUUAAGAGAUUUGCUCUUCCAGUCCUUGGACAGGAUGCUGGGAAACUACCCUCACUUUUCAUAGUUCUGCUCAAACCACCCGGAAAGCCAUCCCUAAGCUCCUGUGUACUGGUUCCUGCUC